GACGAACGCUGGCGGCGUGCCUAAUACAUGCAAGUAGAACGCUGAAGGAGGAGCUUGCUUCUCUGGAUGAGUUGCGAACGGGUGAGUAACGCGUAGGUAACCUGCCUGGUAGCGGGGGAUAACUAUUGGAAACGAUAGCUAAUACCGCAUAAUAGUAGAUGUUGCAUGACAUUUGCUUAAAAGGUGCAAUUGCAUCACUACCAGAUGGACCUGCGUUGUAUUAGCUAGUUGGUGGGGUAACGGCUCACCAAGGCGACGAUACAUAGCCGACCUGAGAGGGUGAUCGGCCACACUGGGACUGAGACACGGCCCAGACUCCUACGGGCGGCAGCAGUAGGGAAUCUUCGGCAAUGGACGGAAGACUGACCGAGCAACGCCGCGUGAGUGAAGAAGGUUUUCGGAUCGUAAAGCUCUGUUGUAAGAGAAGAACGAGUGUGAGAGUGGAAAGUUCACACUGUGACGGUAUCUUACCAGAAAGGGACGGCUAACUACGUG
RNAcentral lists this ribosomal RNA (495 nucleotides) under uncultured bacterium. RNAcentral describes it as "partial 16S ribosomal RNA". It matches the Rfam family "Bacterial small subunit ribosomal RNA", at positions 28 to 507 of the family's 1533-position model. The record is from RNAcentral.